GAUUAUCAAGUACAAGAAGAAGUGCGUGCAUGGGACGAGCAAGCUAAUUCCUGGAAGCGGACUUACUGCCAUGGUUGUGUUAAUGAUGACAGAGUGUUCCCAUCGUUGAAGCCAAACUGACAGAUGAGCCUGGUGUUGAUCCUUUUGCUCAAAGGAGGGAAGAGAAGAAGAGCAGCAUCGAUAAACAAGAAAUUAACAGACGUGGGAAUUUGAAGAACGGGCCAUCGUCGGAUUUUCUCGCAGGUGAGGGGAGGCGUUCAGGGGAUCGGCUACGAAGGCGCUGGCCACCAAGCGCCGAGCGGCAGCUAGCCUACAACGAAGAUCUGCACAAGGGCGCUACAAGAUCUGCAUGGACGUCCUAGAAUCCACCGGUCUGUAGUAACAUGAGUCCCACGCUCGGCCUCCUGCAAGGGCGACCUUUCCUACUCCCAAAAGCAGACCUGGUUCAAGAUCAGAGGCAACAAUUCAGUUCAGUUAAGUGAUUAGGCAUAAUGCGCGAAUGCAAGCAAGGUUGGGAUGAAUGGGUCGAUGGUGUCAUGCCUCGGCCCACAGGACCAGCUAACAAGUCAAGAUUGAGGUGGACACUGGAGCUCCCUCAGUAUUCUGUAGAGGCUGUGAACAAGCUUGAGGGACCUGAAAGUUGAGUGAUGGUUUUCCUUUAUUUUUCAAGUAUUUUAUAAUUUUUUAUUCUCCACUCUAAACAGUUCACUUCAAUAUCUCUUACACAAAAGCAACUCCCAAGGGCGUUCUGAAGCUUACGAAAGUGGAAGGCCUAAACAUCUAUCAUCUAAAGACUCAUUCGCAGAUACUACUUCAGGGUUAUUUCGCCACUUCACUGAAAAUGAAACCAAACAUCUCUUCUUCUUUUCUUUGUUGAACAGAAGUACCGACACACAAAGUAUAUUCCAUAGAUCAAAGAAGAGUAAAUGUGUAUAUCGCACAAUUCAAAGGUUAAAAUAUUGUUCUGCUAAAUACCCCCAUCAUCUCAGUAGUUUGUGGGUCAUUACGAUCAGCAUUUACGAUUUGCAUCAAAGUUUUCUAUGCAUGCAAAAAAACUACUCUGAUCAAGUUGGUAUGGAGUUGGACACCCAGACUUUUUGCGCAUCUAAGUGUCGUGACAUUGAUUGUUUCAUCUAAUUCUCCAUGUGCCAAGUGAUGUAAAUACUGAAAGGAUUACCAUUUUAUUAUAUUAACAAAGACAAUCGUUUCCUGUAACUACUACAGUAUCUUGACCGAUUCCAACUAGAUGGAACUGGCUCAAUUGUACAAGAAGUACAAGGACCAGGGUUUUGAGUUCCUUACUUUCCCAUGCAACCAGUUUGGUGGGCAGGAACCUGGCAUUAAUGAGUAAAUUGUUCAGAUUUCUUGCACUCAUUUGAAGGCCGAGUAUCUGAUUUUUGACAAGAUUUUUGAGGGGGGAGAUACAUGGUCUC
RNA transcript from Triticum urartu, 1433 nucleotides. It is a transcript of the gene named putative glutathione peroxidase 2, with no coding region annotated. The record is from RefSeq and is a predicted model, not a curated record. NCBI's taxonomy places the organism in Eukaryota, Viridiplantae, Streptophyta, Magnoliopsida, Poales, Poaceae.